RNAcentral lists this microRNA precursor (111 nucleotides) under Echinops telfairi (small Madagascar hedgehog). Its description in RNAcentral is "miRNA (ENSETEG00000025595.1)". It matches the Rfam family "Eukaryotic large subunit ribosomal RNA", at positions 2081 to 2201 of the family's 3401-position model. The record is from RNAcentral. Lineage: Eukaryota; Metazoa; Chordata; Mammalia; Afrosoricida; Tenrecidae.
UAGAAAAACAAAAAACCGGCUGCCAGCUUAUAACUAGUGUGGACCAGGGAAAUCUGACUGUUUAAUUAAAGCAAAGCAUCGCGGCGGGUGUUGACGUGAUGUGAUUUCAGC